RNAcentral lists this ribosomal RNA (116 nucleotides) under Pteropus alecto (black flying fox). The record is from RNAcentral. Lineage: Eukaryota; Metazoa; Chordata; Mammalia; Chiroptera; Pteropodidae.
GUCUAUGGCCAUGCCACCCUGAACAAGCCUGAUGUCUGAUCUCGGAAGCUAAGCAGGGUCGGGCCUGGUUAGUACUUGGAGGGGAGGCAACCUAGGAAUACCAGGUUCUGUAGGCA